GCUGGGCGCGGUGGCUCACGCCUGUAAUCCCAGCACUUUGGGAGGCCGAGGCUGGAGGAUCGCUUGAGCCCAGGAAUUCUAGACUAGCCUGGGCAACAAAGUGAGACCCCGUCUCUA
This 117-nucleotide signal recognition particle RNA is filed under the name Nomascus leucogenys (northern white-cheeked gibbon). RNAcentral's name for it is "Metazoan signal recognition particle RNA". It matches the Rfam family "Metazoan signal recognition particle RNA". From Rfam's summary of the family: The signal recognition particle (SRP) is a universally conserved ribonucleoprotein. It is involved in the co-translational targeting of proteins to membranes. The eukaryotic SRP consists of a 300-nucleotide 7S RNA and six proteins: SRPs 72, 68, 54, 19, 14, and 9. Lineage: Eukaryota; Metazoa; Chordata; Mammalia; Primates; Hylobatidae. The record is from Rfam by way of RNAcentral.